This 85-nucleotide transfer RNA is filed under the name Puniceicoccales bacterium. RNAcentral describes it as "tRNA-Leu". It matches the Rfam family "tRNA". From Rfam's summary of the family: Transfer RNA (tRNA) molecules are approximately 80 nucleotides in length. Their secondary structure includes four short double-helical elements and three loops (D, anti-codon, and T loops). Further hydrogen bonds mediate the characteristic L-shaped molecular structure. tRNAs have two regions of fundamental functional importance: the anti-codon, which is responsible for specific mRNA codon recognition, and the 3' end, to which the tRNAs corresponding amino acid is attached (by aminoacyl-tRNA synthetases). tRNAs cope with the degeneracy of the genetic code in two manners: having more than one tRNA (with a specific anti-codon) for a particular amino acid; and 'wobble' base-pairing, i.e. permitting non-standard base-pairing at the 3rd anti-codon position. The record is from RNAcentral. Lineage: Bacteria; Pseudomonadati; Verrucomicrobiota; Opitutia; Puniceicoccales.
GCUCAGGUGGUGGAAUUGGCAGACACGCAUGUUUGAGGGGCAUGUGCCGAAAGGUGUAGGGGUUCAAGUCCCCUCCUGAGCACCA